RNAcentral lists this transfer RNA (80 nucleotides) under Blumeria hordei DH14. Its description in RNAcentral is "tRNA-Ala for anticodon AGC". It matches the Rfam family "tRNA". From Rfam's summary of the family: Transfer RNA (tRNA) molecules are approximately 80 nucleotides in length. Their secondary structure includes four short double-helical elements and three loops (D, anti-codon, and T loops). The record is from Rfam by way of RNAcentral. Lineage: Eukaryota; Fungi; Ascomycota; Leotiomycetes; Helotiales; Erysiphaceae. RNAcentral also lists the same sequence under 1 other name.
GGGCUUGUGGUUUAGUGGUAUAAUACUCCCUUAGCAUACUUGAAUGGGAGUGGUCCGGGGUUCGAUUCCCCGCAAGUCCA